GCAGGUAUGGUGAAAUUGGUAUACACGCUAUCUUCAGACGGUAGUGCCUUUCGGCGUGCGGGUUCAAAUCCCGCUACCUGCACCA
RNAcentral lists this transfer RNA (85 nucleotides) under bacterium. RNAcentral describes it as "tRNA-Leu". It matches the Rfam family "tRNA". Rfam says of the family: Transfer RNA (tRNA) molecules are approximately 80 nucleotides in length. Their secondary structure includes four short double-helical elements and three loops (D, anti-codon, and T loops). The record is from RNAcentral.